CUCCAAUUCGACCCCUAGCCAGGGAACCUCCAUGUGCCAUGGGUGCAGCCCUAAAAAGCCAAAAAUAAAAAUAAAAAAUAAUGUUAAAAAUAAAGGAUUGCAUAUGGAGAAUCGAUUGAAGGGAUCUGGAAUGGAAGUGGGAAGGAAGGAGGCUGGAGCAGUGGUCCAGGUAAAGCUGACAGAGUCAGGACUAAGGUGCGGAUGCCGCUGAUGCAGAUGUGUGUGAUUUCAAGGUAUAAUGACAGACUUGGCUGCAUAUGAGAAGUGAGGGAAAGACAGGAAUCAAGGAGAACUCCAGGUUCCUGGCUCUCUGACCAGAUGGGGCUCAGUGCGGUCACCCAGAAGGAGAACAGAUUUGGGGAGCAGGAGAUGCAGAGUUCCUUUUAGAACAUGAUUCAUUUGAGAUGCCAGGGAGAGAGCUGCAUGAAACGAUGAAAUAAGUCUCCAGAGAAAUGAGCCUGGAGCUUGGGGAAGAGGUUUGAGGUAGAGAUAAAAUGGUAUGAGUCUUUCAAUAUCUAAAUGGCGUUUAAAGCCACAGAACCCCGUGAACGAAUGCUAAUCAAGGAGAGAACGCGGGUGGAAAAGCAAGGAGCUGAAUUCUGCCACCAACUAGUGAGCUUGAAAGAGGAACUUGAGCCUCGGAGGAAAUCACAGCUUUGGCCAACAUCUUGCUUUCAGCCUGGUAAGACCCUGGGCACAGAGCCCAGUGAAAAUCUGCCGGACUUCUGACCCACAGAAAGUGUGAUGCAAUAAGCUGUGUGGUAUCAAGCCACUAAGUUUAUGGUUGCGUGUUAUAUGGAAUAGCAAAUGCAGACAGAUGUUUAUCUUGUUUUACUGGGGGAGAUGGAAGAUAUUAGAGAUGUUUGUAACCUUUUGAGAAAUGAACUUAUUGAGAAGGAAACACUUUGAGCUUAAAAGGGGUAGAAAUUCAGAGUCGGACACACUUGAAAGAAGCAGGGAUAGCUUCUCCAGGACCUGCAGAAGCAGAGUGAUCCUGCCAGCACAGAAUGGAGGCCGUUUUCACUGCGGAGAGACAAAGGGAGGGGGCCUUUCAUCCACGGGGAACUUGGAAACCAUUUCCAGAAAAGCAGCAGAGGACUUAGUUGAAAGGCUGGACUCCAGCCCGUCCCUCCUCAGCGUUGUGACCUCGGCCAGGCCCGUGAGGCUUAAAGGAGUUAAUGCUCGUUGCAGAAAGCACUGAGAAAGGGGCCAGCAGGCUCUCUAUCAACAAUCUCCAAGAGUGAGUCAUCGUUAUGCCUAUCGCUGCGAAAGCUGCUGCCAGCAGAAGCCGGCGCCCCAGAGGGCUGAGUUCUGGCCCCUCUUCUUUCUUUUUAUACACAGUAAAAUUGAUUUUUAAAUAACAAGGGAUACUUGGUCAACGGGUAGAAAUCGUAACAGUUCACAUUAAAGAAGAAAAAUCACCUACCAUCCCACUCCCCAAAGAUCAUUUUUCUGUUCCUCUAUUCAACUAGUAUCAUAGCGAUCUGGUGCUAUUUGCUUUUUCCCCAGAGGGUGACUGGGAUUGUGGUCUUCCCACCCCCACCAGCAUGAGUCACCCCGGUCCCACACAGUCACCCAGGCCUCCGGCUUUGCUAAGGGGGUGAUGGCGCAGAGGCAGUGAAAGAGGCUGAAGGACAGGGUCUGCAAUGCUGUCUGGCCUGUCCCCAGCCACCUGGAGAAUUUUAUGAGCAAAGAGCGUCAGUGAUUUUAAAAGGCCAGCCCCACUCACAGCCCUUGCAUUUAGGAGGCCCAUCCCCCGCGGCCUGGGUCUGAAUCCUGGCCUCCAUGCAUUAGUUGUGUGACUUGGGACAAAUUAUUUCAACCACUCUGUGCCUCAGUUUCCCUAUCGAUGAAAUGGGUAUAACAGGAGUUUCCAUCAUGGCUCAGCAGGACCAAACCCAACUAGUAUCCUUGAGGACACAGGUUCGAUCUCUGGCCUCGCUCAGUGGGUUAAGGUUCCAGUGUUGCCGUGAGCUGUGGUGUAGGUUGCAGACAUGGCUCAGAUCUGGCAUGGCUGUGGCUGUGGCUGUGGCUGUGCCAUUGCUUUGACUGUGGCCACUGGGCCUGGAGAUGAAGAUGGGCUGCGUGCAACCCGACAAGACUGUGACUCUCUAAAGACCCCCCACCCCCACCCCAGAUCUCAGCCAGAUCUCAGGGCCACUGUCCUGCUUCUGCUGACUGCUUGUCGCUGAGGCCUUUAU
This 2201-nucleotide long non-coding RNA is filed under the name Sus scrofa (pig). RNAcentral describes it as "lncRNA (ENSSSCG00040059438.1)". The record is from RNAcentral. Lineage: Eukaryota; Metazoa; Chordata; Mammalia; Artiodactyla; Suidae.